AUUAUGUAAUGAUGUUAGCCCUGGAUUAUUUUGCGCGGAAAUCAGCAAUUUAUGCGGCAAAGUGCGGCGUAUUUGAAAAAAAUGCGGCCCCCGCAUAAAUUAGCAGACUUUGUCUGAUUAUGCAUUGAAUGAUGCGAUCGCACAAUCGCGUUUUUCUGGAGGGACCAGUAAAUAAUACUGUAUAUAC
Molecule: long non-coding RNA, 187 nt
Organism: Etheostoma spectabile (orangethroat darter)
Lineage: Eukaryota; Metazoa; Chordata; Actinopteri; Perciformes; Percidae
Exons: 3
Source: RefSeq, a predicted model, not a curated record